AUUGGAAUUCUAAUUGGAAUUUGGAAUUCCUAUUGGAAUUCCAAUUGGAGCCAAUAGGAAUGAAAUUCCAAUUGGAAUUCCAAUAGGCAUUCCAACAGGAAUUAACAGGAAUUCCAAUAGGAAUUCCUAUAGGAAUUAAAUUCCAAUAGGAAUUC
This is a non-coding RNA of Paramuricea clavata, 155 nucleotides long. The record is from the annotation of a GenBank genome assembly. Lineage: Eukaryota; Metazoa; Cnidaria; Anthozoa; Malacalcyonacea; Plexauridae.